This 253-nucleotide ribosomal RNA is filed under the name uncultured bacterium. RNAcentral describes it as "partial 16S ribosomal RNA". It matches the Rfam family "Bacterial small subunit ribosomal RNA", at positions 524 to 776 of the family's 1533-position model. The record is from RNAcentral.
GACAGAGGGUGCAAACGUUGUUCGGAAUUACUGGGCGUAAAGCGCGUGUAGGCGGCCAUCUAAGUCGGGCGUGAAAUCCCACGGCUCAACCGUGGAAGUGCACUCGAAACUGGAUGGCUAGAGUCCUGGAGAGGAAGGUGGAAUGCUUGGUGUAGAGGUGAAAUUCGUAGAUAUCAAGCGGAACACCUGCGGCGAAGGCGGCCUUCUGGACGAUGACUGACGCUGAGACACGAAAGCGUGGGGAGCAAACAGG